UCUCAAUUGGCUAUAUAUGAA
RNAcentral lists this non-coding RNA (21 nucleotides) under Caenorhabditis elegans. Lineage: Eukaryota; Metazoa; Nematoda; Chromadorea; Rhabditida; Rhabditidae. The record is from RNAcentral.